This 266-nucleotide ribosomal RNA is filed under the name Salmonella enterica subsp. enterica. RNAcentral describes it as "partial 23S ribosomal RNA". It matches the Rfam family "Bacterial large subunit ribosomal RNA", at positions 488 to 652 of the family's 2925-position model. The record is from RNAcentral. Lineage: Bacteria; Pseudomonadati; Pseudomonadota; Gammaproteobacteria; Enterobacterales; Enterobacteriaceae.
UAGUGAACCAGUACCGUGAGGGAAAGGCGAAAAGAACCCCGGCGAGGGGAGUGAAAAAGAACCUGAAACCGUGUACGUACAAGCAGUGGGAGCCCCACCACUAAGCCAGUGGUGAACUCCACAUACGCAUCCUUUGCUGAGGAUACGGUUAACGGAGCGCAAGCGACGUUCAACCUCAAAAGAAGCAGAGGGGGCUUAGUGGUGGGGUGACUGCGUACCUUUUGUAUAAUGGGUCAGCGACUUAUAUUCUGUAGCAAGGUUAACCG